GAUGAAGAACGCAGCGAAAUGCGAUAAGUAAUGUGAAUUGCAGAAUUCAGUGAAUCAUCGAAUCUUUGAACGCACAUUGCGCCCCUUGGUAUUCCGGGGGGCAUGCCUGUCCGAGCGUCAUUGCUGCCCUCAAGCACGGCUUGUGUGUUGGGCCUCCGUCCUCCUCCCGGGGGACGGGCCCGAAAGGCAGCGGCGGCACCGCGUCUGGUCCUCGAGCGUAUGGGGCUUCGUCACCCGCUCUUGUAGGCCCGGCCGGCGCUUGCCGACACAUCAAUCUUUUUUCCAGGUUGACCUCGGAUCAGGUAGGGAUACCCGCUGAACUUAAGCAUAUCAAUAAGCGGAGGA
Molecule: unclassified non-coding RNA, 345 nt
Filed under: soil metagenome
Description: partial contains 5.8S ribosomal RNA, internal transcribed spacer 2, and large subunit ribosomal RNA
Rfam family: 5.8S ribosomal RNA (bases 1-120)
Source: RNAcentral